ACGGAAGGCAGCAGUGGGGAAUAUUGCACAAUGGGGGAAACCCUGAUGCAGCAACGCCGCGUGAGUGAAGAAGUAUUUCGGUAUGUAAAGCUCUAUCAGCAGGGAAGAUAAUGACGGUACCUGACUAAGAAGCACCGGCUAAAUACGUGCCAGCAGCCGCGGUAAUACGUAUGGUGCAAGCGUUAUCCGGAUUUACUGGGUGUAAAGGGUGCGUAGGUGGCAUGGUAAGUCAGAUGUGAAAUACCGGGGCUCAACCCCGGGGCUGCAUUUGAAACUGCCAGGCUGGAGUACAGGAGAGGCAAGCGGAAUUCCUAGUGUAGCGGUGAAAUGCGUAGAUAUAUGGAGGAACACCGGUGGCGAAAGCGGCUCUCUGGUCUGUAACUGACGCUGAGGCUCGAAAGCGUGGGGAGCAAACAGGAUUAGAUACCCUGGUA
RNAcentral lists this ribosomal RNA (434 nucleotides) under uncultured bacterium. RNAcentral's name for it is "partial 16S ribosomal RNA". It matches the Rfam family "Bacterial small subunit ribosomal RNA", at positions 341 to 792 of the family's 1533-position model. The record is from RNAcentral.